Molecule: long non-coding RNA, 236 nt
Organism: Triticum aestivum (bread wheat)
Lineage: Eukaryota; Viridiplantae; Streptophyta; Magnoliopsida; Poales; Poaceae
Exons: 3
Source: RefSeq, a predicted model, not a curated record
UACACAACUAAGCAGGAGAUGAUAGGGUCUCAAACUGGACUUUUUGAUCAUUUGAUAAACGUUUGGAAAUUCAAGCGUGGUCCUCUUCUGCAACCUGUGACCUAUUACUUCUUAAUUUAUGGACUUUAAGUUUCAGUCAUCCCUAUAUCAUCAGAAGCUCCGCGGGGCGAUGGCACAUGGUCGGCAAGGCAGCGUUCUACAGCGCACCAGCCCGCAACAGAGGCGGCGCCCACGGC